Molecule: unclassified non-coding RNA, 304 nt
Filed under: plant metagenome
Description: partial contains 5.8S ribosomal RNA, internal transcribed spacer 2, and large subunit ribosomal RNA
Rfam family: 5.8S ribosomal RNA (bases 1-105)
Source: RNAcentral
GAAAUGCGAUAAGUAAUGUGAAUUGCAGAAUUCAGUGAAUCAUCAAAUCUUUGAACGCACAUUGCGCCCGCCAGUAUUCUGGCGGGCAUGCCUGUUCGAGCGUCAUUUCAACCAUCAAGCCCCCCGGCUUGUGUUGGGGACCUGCGGCUGCCGCAGGCCCUGAAAAGCAGUGGCGGGCUCGCUGUCACACCGAGCGUAGUAGCAUACAUCUCGCUCUGGGCGUGCUGCGGGUUCCGGCCGUUAAACCACCUUCGUAACCCAAGGUUGACCUCGGAUCAGGUAGGAAGACCCGCUGAACUUAAGC